Molecule: non-coding RNA, 29 nt
Filed under: Rattus norvegicus (Norway rat)
Lineage: Eukaryota; Metazoa; Chordata; Mammalia; Rodentia; Muridae
Source: RNAcentral
GAUAGAAAUAAUCCCAUGCGUGCUAUCGG